CCUACGGGGGGCAGCAGUGGGGAAUAUUGGACAAUGGGGGGAACCCUGAUCCAGCCAUGCCGCGUGUGUGAAGAAGGCCCUCGGGUUGUAAAGCACUUUCAGUGAGGAAGAACGCCUGGUGGUUAAUACCCAUCAGGAAAGACAUCACUCACAGAAGAAGCACCGGCUAACUCCGUGCCAGCAGCCGCGGUAAUACGGAGGGUGUGAGCGUUAAUCGGAAUUACUGGGCGUAAAGCGCGCGUAGGUGGCUUGAUAAGCCGGUUGUGAAAGCCCCGGGCUCAACCUGGGAACGGCAUCCGGAACUGCCAAGCUAGAGUGCAGGAGAGGAAGGUAGAAUUCCCGGUGUAGCGGUGAAAUGCGUAGAGAUCGGGAGGAAUACCAGUGGCGAAGGCGGCCUUCUGGACUGACACUGACACUGAGGUGCGAAAGCGUGGGUAGCAAACAGGAUUAGAUACCCGAGUAGUC
RNAcentral lists this ribosomal RNA (465 nucleotides) under Vreelandella stevensii. Its description in RNAcentral is "partial 16S ribosomal RNA". It matches the Rfam family "Bacterial small subunit ribosomal RNA", at positions 338 to 795 of the family's 1533-position model. Lineage: Bacteria; Pseudomonadati; Pseudomonadota; Gammaproteobacteria; Oceanospirillales; Halomonadaceae. The record is from RNAcentral.